Long non-coding RNA from Hevea brasiliensis (rubber tree), 411 nucleotides. RefSeq lists it as uncharacterized. The transcript is spliced from 2 exons. NCBI's taxonomy places the organism in Eukaryota, Viridiplantae, Streptophyta, Magnoliopsida, Malpighiales, Euphorbiaceae. The record is from RefSeq and is a predicted model, not a curated record.
UUUAGUCUUCAUCUUCUUCUUUGCCGCCCCACCUCUCUCACUUACCACCAUUGAAGAAAAACCAUGGAAACUUGAAUCCAAGCUUGAUUCUCACCACUAAAACCUACUUUGACCCCAAACUAGUCCACAAAAAUUUGUUAGUUCAACUUGAGGAAGCUUUAAAGGAAGGAAAGAAAAGAAGAAAAGGAAGAAAUUAGAGAGUUGAAUUUCAAAGUUAAGUGGGAAAGGAGCUCUCCAAGGAAGGAGGAGAAAUUGAACCAAGACAAGCCUAGAUAAGAGGUUUGUGCACAACUAACUCUUUUGUUAUUUUUCACUUCUAAAUUGAUUUGAACAAGUUUAUUUUAUGACUUAUGAUUUUGUUGUAUUGAGAAUUUUAAUUUAUUGAAUGAAAUUGUAUAAUUUAAAUAUAAA